GAGGGUAUAGCUCAGUGGUAGAGCACAUGGUUGGCAUGCAAAAGGUCCUGGGUUCAAUCCCCAGUACCUCCA
This 72-nucleotide transfer RNA is filed under the name Camelus bactrianus (Bactrian camel). It matches the Rfam family "tRNA". Rfam says of the family: Transfer RNA (tRNA) molecules are approximately 80 nucleotides in length. Their secondary structure includes four short double-helical elements and three loops (D, anti-codon, and T loops). The record is from Rfam by way of RNAcentral. Lineage: Eukaryota; Metazoa; Chordata; Mammalia; Artiodactyla; Camelidae. RNAcentral also lists the same sequence under 2 other names.